This 460-nucleotide ribosomal RNA is filed under the name uncultured bacterium. RNAcentral describes it as "partial 16S ribosomal RNA". It matches the Rfam family "Bacterial small subunit ribosomal RNA", at positions 338 to 795 of the family's 1533-position model. The record is from RNAcentral.
CCUACGGGCGGCAGCAGUGAGGAAUAUUGGUCAAUGGCCGCAAGGCUGAACCAGCCAUGCCGCGUGAAGGUCAGUGCCCUAUGGGCGUUAAACUUCUUUUGUGCGGGAGCAAUAAUGGUCACGUGUGGCCAGACGAGAGUACCGUACGAAUAAGCAUCGGCUAACUCCGUGCCAGCAGCCGCGGUAAUACGGGGGAUGCAAGCGUUAUCCGGAUUUAUUGGGUUUAAAGGGUGCGUAGGCUGUGAGGUAAGUCAGCGGGGAAAUGCCCCCGCGCAACGGGGUGAAGUGCCAUUGAUACUGCCUUGCUGGAAUGCGGAUGCGGUGGGAGGAAUGUGUGGUGUAGCGGUGAAAUGCAUAGAUAUCACACAGAACACCGAUUGCGAAGGCAUCUCACGAAUCCGCGAUUGACGCUGAUGCACGAAAGCGUGGGUAUCAAACAGUAUUAGAUACCCCAGUAGUC